GAUAAUUUAUUCUAUCGUGAUAAGAGGAAAGGAAGAGAGGUUGAAUGCAGUUGCAGAUUUGAAGAUGUUCAGUUUGCGGUGGACUGUACUAGCAGUGAAGAGUAAUUGGAAGAAGGGCAUUUUGGGAAUUUGGCAACAGAAAAACUUGUUAUUUGUUGAGAGACAUGUGAAUUUGCAGCUUUAGAUGUUCUAUUCAGGCAGCAUUUAAGUUUGGAGGGUCAACAGAUCAGACUUGGAGUCCUGAUAUGUGUCAGAAAUUGGGGAAGAUUACUGCCUGAGACAGCACAGGGCAGCGACAG
Molecule: long non-coding RNA, 299 nt
Filed under: Homo sapiens (human)
Lineage: Eukaryota; Metazoa; Chordata; Mammalia; Primates; Hominidae
Description: HSALNT0075515
Source: RNAcentral